GGUAAACCGAUGAGUAAGAGAAGUAAAGAUGGCAUACCUGUCCCCAGAGAGCCGCGGCAAGGUGAAAGCGCGGCGGCAGCGGCUGUUUUGAAUGGGCUUACGAGGGCGACCCGAACGAAUUUCCAGUAGGCGUCGACGGCAGGCUGCACCGUUAUCCGGCAGCACCAUUUCGAUUGAGUGGGCUCUGCCUUUGCAGGGUCAAUCUGGGUGGCACCGCAGGAGUAGCAAAGCUCUUGUCCCUGUU
This 244-nucleotide non-coding RNA is filed under the name Clostridium sp. RNAcentral describes it as "T-box sequence". It matches the Rfam family "T-box leader". From Rfam's summary of the family: Uncharged tRNA acts as the effector for transcription antitermination of genes in the T-box leader family. The record is from RNAcentral. Lineage: Bacteria; Bacillati; Bacillota; Clostridia; Eubacteriales; Clostridiaceae.